CAGCAAACUUAAUGAUGGUGUUGGAGUCGUGUUUGGCCACGCAGUCAUGGGUGAACAGGGAGUACAGCAGUGGACAAAGCACGCACCCCUGAGGGACCCCAGUGUUGAAGAUCAGUGUAGCAGAUGUGUUGUUGCCUACCCUUACAACCUGGUGGCGGCCUGUCAGGAAGUCCAGGAUCUAGUUGCAGAGGGAGGUGUUUAGUCCCAGGGUCCUUAGCUUAGUGAUGAGCUUUGUGGGCACUAUGGUGUUGAACGCUGUGUAAGUGUUGUUACAUAGAUGCUGUGUUCACGAUGCAUGAUUAAUACAUAAUUCAAGGUUUAUUUGAUGUAGUAAAUAAAUAAAUGAUUUAUUGAUGUAUAGAUAAGAAUUUAAAUGUGAUGUAACAUGUAAAUUAACGUUAGGCCAUUGUCUGUGUUUUUAUGUUCCAUCCCGGAACUAACGUUCUCUGUUGUGUUACUGCUACGGAAUUUGUUAAUUGACUGUGUGCAAUCUAACUUAAGCAGAUCAUAGUCUGAGUCAUAAUUGUUGAUGGCAGAGGCUAAGAAAGACAGUAAAGGGACUUUCAAGGGACUUUAAGAAUUCAAGAACCUCUUUUCAGGACAAGCAGCCAACGAGUUCUCACGGCGUGACGUGGAUGCAUCGGAGAAAAAGACGUGCAAUGCAAUAAACGCCCGUUUCAA
Molecule: non-coding RNA, 681 nt
Organism: Salmo salar (Atlantic salmon)
Lineage: Eukaryota; Metazoa; Chordata; Actinopteri; Salmoniformes; Salmonidae
Source: RefSeq, a predicted model, not a curated record